This is a non-coding RNA of Aplosporella prunicola CBS 121167, 97 nucleotides long. NCBI's taxonomy places the organism in Eukaryota, Fungi, Ascomycota, Dothideomycetes, Botryosphaeriales, Aplosporellaceae. The record is from the annotation of a RefSeq genome assembly.
GGGUGCGUGGUCUAGUGGUAUGAUACUCCCUUAGCAUCAUCACAACAGUGAGAUUCUAACAUGGGAGUGGUCCUGGGUUCAAUUCCCAGCGCAUCCA